GUGACGAAUAUCACAAAACAAAGCAUGAACAGUAAUCAUAAUCCACAAAACAAGAUCACAUCCUACGCGAUUGGCUCAAAGAGCUGGAUGGAUAGAGACCUACCAGCAUGCAAUUUCUAUUGUUCAGUUUUACACAAACUCUACAAAGUGGAGUUUUAUUGUCUGUUUAAAUUUCGUCAGCUGACGUGCGAAUUUGGCGUGAUAUUUUCUCAAGGAAAUGUUGGGCAUACAACAAAAAGCCCCGGGCGUUGCAACUUGAGCUCAAAGAACAAAUAUAUUAUAUUUUUAUGCAACCUUACGAAAAUAGCGUGAAACGUUUAUUACGGACAUAAGAAAGGAAUUCUACGACAUUGUUGUCAACCAGGUCCAGUACACCUUGGUGCCAGUGACAGGGUGGCAAGACCUUGGUACCGCCUUCCUAGAGCACAAGGAGCAGUUCCACUAUUUUGU
Salvelinus fontinalis (brook trout) is the source of this 450-nucleotide long non-coding RNA. RefSeq lists it as uncharacterized. Lineage: Eukaryota; Metazoa; Chordata; Actinopteri; Salmoniformes; Salmonidae. The record is from RefSeq and is a predicted model, not a curated record. The transcript has 3 exons.